Molecule: long non-coding RNA, 1361 nt
Filed under: Anser brachyrhynchus (Pink-footed goose)
Lineage: Eukaryota; Metazoa; Chordata; Aves; Anseriformes; Anatidae
Description: lncRNA (ENSABRG00000016615.1)
Source: RNAcentral
CCGGAAAGGUCCUGGCUGACUGGAGACCUGCUAAUGUGAUGCCCAUCUAUAAGAAGGGUUGUAAGGAGGAUCUGGUGAACUACAGGCCUGUCAGCCUGACCUUGGUGCCAGGAAAGGUGAUGGAACAGGUCAUCUUGAAUGCAACCAAACAGCAUAUGUGGGACAACCUAGGGACCAGGCCCAGUCAGCAUAGGUUCAUGAAAGGCAAGUCCUCCUGCCUGACCAACCUCAUCUCCUUUUAUGACCGGGUGACCCACCCGGUGGACGAGGGAAAGACUGUUGAUGUAGUCUACCCAGACUUCAGUAAAGCCAGCUGGGCCCACAGAGUGGUGGUGAAUGGAGUGAAAUCCAGGUGGCAACCAGUCACCAGUGGUGUUCCCCAGGGGUUGGUGUUGGGGUCCAUCCUCUUUAAUAUCUUUAUUGAUGAUUUGGAUGACGGAAUUCAGUGUACCUUCAGUAACUCUGCAGAUGACACCAAGCAGGGGAAAAGUGUUGACCUUCCAGAGGGUAGGAAGGCUCUGCAGAGGGACCGGGGCAGGUUGGAUCAAUGGGCAGAGGCCAGUGGGAUGAGGUUCAACAUGACUAAGUGCCAAGUCCUGCACUUUGGUCACAACAACCCCAUGCAACGCUAUGGGCUUGGGGAAGAGUGGCUGGAAAGCUGUGCAAAGGAAAAGGAUCUGGGGGUGUUUUUUGGUGCUCGCCUGAACAUGAGCCAUCAGUGUGUCCAGGUGGUCAAGAAGGCCAAUGGCAUCCUGGCUUGUAUCAGGAAUAUUGUAUCCAGCAGGACCAAGAAGGUGUUAGUCCCCCUGUACUCUGCUCUAGUGAGGCUGCACCUUGAGUACUGCAUUCAGUUUUGGGCCCCACACUACAAGAAGGACAUUGAGGCCCUGGAGCGUGUUCAGAGAAGGGCUACGAAGUUGGUGAAGGCUCUGGAGCACAAGUCCUGUGAAGAGUGGCUGAGGGAACUGGGGGUGUUUAGUCUGGAGAAGAGGAGACUCAGGGGAGACCUCAUUGCUCUCUACAACUACCUGAAAGGAAGGUGUGGGGAGCUGGAGGUCAGCGUCUUCUAGCAGAUAACUGGUGAUGGAACUAGAGGGAAUGGCCUCAAGUUGCGCCAGGGGAGGUUCAGGUUAGAAAUUAGGAGGCAUUUCUCCUCAGAAAGAGUAGUCAGGCAUUGGAACAGGUUCCCCAGGGAGGUGGUGGAAUCACCAUCCCUUGGUGUGUUUAAGGAAAGGUUGGAUGUGAUAAUUAGGGACAUGGUUUAGUGGGUAACAUUGGCAGUAUGGGGAUGGUUGGACCUGAUGACCUUGGAGGUCUUUUCUAACCUUAUUGAUUCUAUGAUUCUCAUCAACCAAUACCCC